This 1160-nucleotide long non-coding RNA is filed under the name Rattus norvegicus (Norway rat). Its description in RNAcentral is "long non-coding RNA NONRATT032686". The record is from RNAcentral. Lineage: Eukaryota; Metazoa; Chordata; Mammalia; Rodentia; Muridae.
UGAACUGUGAGCCAGGAUGAACCUUCCUCUGAUAAGUUGCUUUUUAUCAGGCGCCAGAUCUCAACAACGAGGAGAGGAGCUAAUUGCAAAUGUGUACCGGGAAUGCAAUUAAUAAAACUGUCACAGAAGAUUUUAAAAAGAGAGUAGAAAAUGUCCUGGUCGCAGCAUGGAAGGCAAUUGGAGAAGUUAAGUGGCGGGUGCUGCGUUGGUUUCCUGGGCCCUUCUGAGCAUUAGCGGGGGAGCAGACAUCUUGGGAUGGAGUUAGUAAUGGAAGAGAAAGAAGAGAUCAGAUAUGCACAUGAGGUCUGGCUUGCAGGACAGGCUGGAGGUGGGGAUAGCUUUGGGAAGCUGCAGCAGAGGUCCACAGGAUGGUGUAGUGCUAUCGAAGGAUAUCAAUUUAGAGAUGCUUGAGAGGAGGCUCAGUCAGGCUGAAAGCCUUCUCUUGGAUGAAGGGUAGAGGAUGUAGAAAGAGGCCCAAGGAAGCAGGAAGGGGUGGAGGUAGGAUUCUGACCCAUGCUUGCUUUUCUCACUUCCUGUCCCAGCACACAGAGCCCGAAUUUUCACAGGAAAAUAAUCAUGCACAUAACCAACACAGACAGUAUCUCCUUGAGGUCUAUCAGGCUGUGGAAUGGACACCUCACAGCAGUGGGACGGCUGGCUGCAGGAGUUAAGAGGCUCACAAAAUGACCUGCAGUGCUGGGGAACACAGCAGGUUGUCUCUUUAAUCUAUGAAAGAAUCCAACAGUUGGAAAGCCAAGGUUUCAUCUCAUGUGGGGGAGCCACUACUCUUCAACGUUAUUGUCCAAGUCAAAGAGUGCCUGAAGUGAGUCCUAUUACCUUUCUCACAGCUAGCUAUUCUACCCUCCCUCCGUCUCCCUCCUCCUCUUUCCCUCAGUCCUUCCCUCCCUCCUUCCCUUAGUGAGUCCCUCCCAGCCUCUCUCCUUUCCACCCCUUUCUGGGUGGUGGAGGUGCACUGUAGAGGCAGACUCAUGAAUCUGACCCUCUACAAUAUAGGUUAUGUUUUCCAAACACUAAGGACAGGGCAUUCUCCAUAAGCAACAGGGAAGGACAAUAGAGUAGUCGGGCAGAGUGCUGUUCAUUCCUGUAGCAGGCCAAUACAUAGUGAAGUGUGGUCUCUGUAAGUCAUAUUUUAGUUUUCA